This 584-nucleotide ribosomal RNA is filed under the name uncultured bacterium. Its description in RNAcentral is "bacterial SSU rRNA". It matches the Rfam family "Bacterial small subunit ribosomal RNA", at positions 338 to 916 of the family's 1533-position model. The record is from RNAcentral.
CCUACGGGAGGCAGCAGUGGGGAAUUUUGGACAAUGGGGGCAACCCUGAUCCAGCCAUGCCGCGUGCGGGAAGAAGGCCUUCGGGUUGUAAACCGCUUUUGUCAGGGAAGAAAUCUUCUGGGCUAAUACCCCGGGAGGAUGACGGUACCUGAAGAAUAAGCACCGGCUAACUACGUGCCAGCAGCCGCGGUAAUACGUAGGGUGCAAGCGUUAAUCGGAAUUACUGGGCGUAAAGCGUGCGCAGGCGGUUGUGCAAGACAGGUGUGAAAUCCCCGGGCUUAACCUGGGAACUGCACUUGUGACUGCACAGCUGGAGUACGGCAGAGGGGGAUGGAAUUCCGCGUGUAGCAGUGAAAUGCGUAGAUAUGCGGAGGAACACCGAUGGCGAAGGCAGUCCCCUGGGCCUGUACUGACGCUCAUGCACGAAAGCGUGGGGAGCAAACAGGAUUAGAUACCCUGGUAGUCCACGCCCUAAACGAUGUCAACUGGUUGUUGGGAAGGUUCCUUCUCAGUAACGUAGCUAACGCGUGAAGUUGACCGCCUGGGGAGUACGGCCGCAAGGUGAAACUCAAAGGAAUUGACGG